This 433-nucleotide ribosomal RNA is filed under the name uncultured bacterium. RNAcentral's name for it is "bacterial SSU rRNA". It matches the Rfam family "Bacterial small subunit ribosomal RNA", at positions 87 to 518 of the family's 1533-position model. The record is from RNAcentral.
GAUGGCGACCGGCGCACGGGUGAGUAACGCGUAUCCAACCUUCCCUUAGUAGGGCAUAGCCCGGCGAAAGUCGGAUUAAUACCCUAUGUUAUCCGAAGAGGACAUCUGAAUUGGAUUAAAGAUUUAUCGCUAAGGGAUGGGGAUGCGUCUGAUUAGGUAGUCGGCGGGGUAACGGCCCACCGAGCCUGCGAUCAGUAGGGGUUCUGAGAGGAAGGUCCCCCACAUUGGAACUGAGACACGGUCCAAACUCCUACGGGAGGCAGCAGUGAGGAAUAUUGGUCAAUGGGCGCGAGCCUGAACCAGCCAAGUAGCGUGCAGGAUGACGGCCCUAUGGGUUGUAAACUGCUUUUAUGGCGGGGAUAAAGUGCACCACGUGUGGUGUUUUGUAAGUACCGCAUGAAUAAGGACCGGCUAAUUCCGUGCCAGCCGCCGC